RNAcentral lists this ribosomal RNA (372 nucleotides) under uncultured organism. RNAcentral's name for it is "bacterial SSU rRNA". It matches the Rfam family "Bacterial small subunit ribosomal RNA", at positions 526 to 896 of the family's 1533-position model. The record is from RNAcentral.
CGUAGGAGACGAGCGUUAUCCGGAUUUACUGGGCGUAAAGCGUGUGCAGGCGGUUCGGCAAGUUGGAUGUGAAAUCUCCCGGCUCAACUGGGAGGGGUCGUUCAAAACGACCGAACUUGAGGUCAUCAGAGGAAGGUGGAAUUCCGGGUGUAGUGGUGAAAUGCGUAGAUAUCCGGAGGAACACCAGUGGCGAAGGCGGCCUUCUGGGAUGAUCCUGACGCUCAGACACGAAAGCUAGGGGAGCGAACGGGAUUAGAGACCCCGGUAGUCCUAGCUGUAAACGAUGUAGACUUGGCGUCGGAGGGUUCAAAACCUUCGGUGUCGUAGCUAACGCGAUAAGUCUACCGCCUGGGGACUACGGCCGCAAGGUUA